Molecule: ribosomal RNA, 440 nt
Filed under: uncultured bacterium
Lineage: Bacteria
Description: partial 16S ribosomal RNA
Rfam family: Bacterial small subunit ribosomal RNA
Source: RNAcentral
CCUACGGGAGGCAGCAGUAGGGAAUAUUGCGCAAUGGGGGAAACCCUGAAGCAGCAACGCCGCGUGGAGGAUGAAGGUCUUCGGAUUGUAAACCUCUUUUGGAAGAGAAGAUAAUGACGGUAUCUAACGAAUAAGCACCGGCUAACUCCGUGCCAGCAGCCGCGGUAAUACGGAGGGUGCAAGCGUUAUUCGGAAUUACUGGGCGUAAAGAGCGCGUAGGCGGGAUAGCAAGUCAGAUGUGAAAUCCUAUGGCUUAACCCUAGAACUGCAUUUGAAACUGUUAAUCUAGAGUAUGGGAGAGGUUGGUGGAAUUCUUGGUGUAGAGGUGAAAUCCGUAGAUAUCGGGAGGAAUACUGAUGGCGAAGGCGGCCUGCUGGAACAUAACUGACGCUGAGGCGCGAAAGCGUGGGGAUCAAACAGGAUUAGAUACCCCAGUAGUC